AUGUUUAAAAAAACAUAUGCUGAGAACCUGCCUGCACUUGAAGGAAAACAGCAGUGGGAUAUUGUAGACCCUGGUUUCAAACUAAGUCCACCUGUACAGAACAAAGCUGCACCUGGCAGGCCAAGGAAGACAAGAAUUAAGCCAGCAAGUGAAGGAAAAGGACUUGGUCCUAGGAAGAGAAAAUGCAAGAGGUGUGGUGGCUUGGGUCACUUACUGAAAACCUGCAAAAAAGCCAUUGAUCCAGCAUUUGGUGAAGAAUAUGCACACUGGGGAGCUGACAAUGCUGAAGAAGACCCUCCUAACCAAAAUGCAGACCUACAUGAUAAACAACAAGAAGAAGAGGAGCCAUACAGUGAAGAUGAAGCUCCAGUGCAGCCUGCAGGUGAAGAUGAAGCUCCAGUGCAGCCUGCAGGUGAAGAUGAAGCUCCAGUGCAGCCUACAGGUGCAGAUGAUGCUCCAGUGCAGCCUGCAGGUGCACAGGAUGCUCCAGUAGAGCCCCACAGCGAAACAAAUGAGACACACACCAAGGAAGAACUAUAA
Molecule: ribosomal RNA, 540 nt
Filed under: Triticum aestivum (bread wheat)
Lineage: Eukaryota; Viridiplantae; Streptophyta; Magnoliopsida; Poales; Poaceae
Description: partial small subunit ribosomal RNA
Source: RNAcentral